UUUCCGUAGGUGAACCUGCGGAAGGAUCAUUACAGAGUUCAUGCCCACACGGGUAGAUCUCCCACCCUUGAAUAUUUAUACCUUAGUUGCUUUGGCAGGCCGUGGAAACACCAUGGGCUCCGGCUUAUGCGUGCCUGCCAGAGGAAACAAACUCUGUUUUUAGUGAUGUCUGAGUACUAUAUAAUAGUUAAAACUUUCAACAACGGAUCUCUUGGUUCUG
This 220-nucleotide unclassified non-coding RNA is filed under the name plant metagenome. RNAcentral's name for it is "partial contains small subunit ribosomal RNA, internal transcribed spacer 1, and 5.8S ribosomal RNA". The record is from RNAcentral.